GACUGGGCCGAAGCAGGGGCGGCGCAACAUAGCUAAAUCACGCGUCGGCAAGGAUUAACGGGCGCUCGGGGUGAGCUCAUCGAGUGGGCUCGGCCCAUGUCGGUGGACCGCCGGUGCAGGCUGGUCGGGGCUGCUGGGCCGGGAGCCCGUUGAGGAGGCCGCUCGAGAAGGCUGGCGUGGCCGGGCCUGGGCAGCGCGGCCCAGGCGAAGCGCUGGAGCGGGCGAGGGCGCACGAGGCGGUAAACAC
This 247-nucleotide long non-coding RNA is filed under the name Hordeum vulgare. RNAcentral's name for it is "long non-coding RNA (HVUL_LNC001040)". Lineage: Eukaryota; Viridiplantae; Streptophyta; Magnoliopsida; Poales; Poaceae. The record is from RNAcentral.